This is a non-coding RNA of Pelobates cultripes (western spadefoot toad), 236 nucleotides long. The record is from the annotation of a GenBank genome assembly. Lineage: Eukaryota; Metazoa; Chordata; Amphibia; Anura; Pelobatidae.
GUUCAUUCGUAUGAAAGAACGGUAUAGUAGGUUACAAUAUGGUGCAAGGCGAAAGGGGGAUUAAAAGUGAGACAUGCGGGCUAGCAUUCGACUGAAACAUAAACAAAAUGGUAGAACUGCAUGCAUACAUAAUGUCUGCGGUCGGUUGGUGACCGCACGAAUGACUGAACGAACGUAAGUAUACCCAGCAGUGGUCGACUGAUUAGCCGCACGAACCACGGAAGUGCACAAACGGG